UAGCAUUGCUUUAAAAUGGCACCCAGUUAAAUGUUUGAAAAUUUCAACUUUAGAAAGAUAAUUAUAACUGAGAAAAGUAGGAGUCUCCAAUUUUUGACUUAUUGCUAUUACGAGGAAAUACUACUAUACGGAACCCUCCCCCCCCCAUUAAAAUGAUGGAAGUACUCUUUUUGACAAUUUUUAAUUACUUAAGACCGGUUUUUCUUUUGUACAGGGCGGUACAAUAUCCACGGCACACAGUUCAUAGUGGUACCGGUCGAGCAGGUGGAGGGCCCUCAGGGACUUUUGGAAGAAUUGGACAGUCAGUUGUCGCACGAAGAGCACCAUCAAGCCGUUGUGGCCCCAUCGACGCCUGCAACGCAGCCUCCCGCAACCCACACGACACGACUCAACGCCACCCACCCCUCUUCCUCCUCUCCAACCCCCGCCCCGGUGGAUCCGGGUGGACAUUGACCACAGAGGGUGGCUCAACCUUCUGAAGAGUGGAAUCGGCACUGAUGUGUGGGAGGUGGACUGAUGAGCUGGCAAGGAUAAAUUCAAGAGUCCUGUCAACACCUUUGUUACCGGCAGAUCUGGCAUCUUGCUGUGUGCUCCAAAGUUUACUUACGAGAUUUAUACACAGCAGCACAGCGUACAAACUUUAUUCCUACUCAUUUUUGGAGUAUUCAUCAAAUCUGGGAGGGUUCCUUAGGGUGGGACUUAUUUUUUUAAAUCGACAAAAUCAAAUGUUGCACGGUCUUAAAUGGUUCUAUGCGAUAAAAAAACACGGUAGCCAAGAGGAUUUUGAGAAAAAAAAUUUUAACCCGGCGCGCACAGAGCCUAAACAUCGAGAUUUUUUUGGUUUUUUUGGCAUUUUCGCCGUAUAUUUUUGA
Molecule: long non-coding RNA, 872 nt
Filed under: Bemisia tabaci
Lineage: Eukaryota; Metazoa; Arthropoda; Insecta; Hemiptera; Aleyrodidae
Description: lncRNA ENSSSA1UGG005085
Source: RNAcentral